AGCGAACGCUGGCGGCAGGCCUAACACAUGCAAGUCGAGCGAGCGGCAGACGGGUGAGUAACGGGAGGGGAGGUAAAUUUCGGGUAGGAACCACAAAGGAAAACUUGUGCUAAUAGAGGAGAAACAAAGAUGGGGCAGCGUCUGAUUAGCUAGGUGGUCGGGUAAUGGCAUACCAAGGCGACGAUCCCUAGCUGGUGUGAGAGGAUGACCAGCCACACUGGAACUGAGACACGGUCCAGACUCCUACGGGAGGCAGCAGUGGGGAAUAUUGCACAAUGGGCGCAAGCCUGAUGCAGCCAUGCCGCGUGUAUGAAGAAGGCCUUCGGGUUGUAAAGUACUUUCAGCGGGGAGGCGUUACCCGCAGAAGAAGCACCGGCUAACUCCGUGCCAGCAGCCGCGGUAAUUC
RNAcentral lists this ribosomal RNA (406 nucleotides) under uncultured bacterium. Its description in RNAcentral is "partial 16S ribosomal RNA". It matches the Rfam family "Bacterial small subunit ribosomal RNA", at positions 29 to 526 of the family's 1533-position model. The record is from RNAcentral.